GUUUUUAUAGCUUACUUAGAGUAUUUCAGUGAAGUUGAAAAGGAAAUUUAUAUUUAAAAACA
Molecule: transfer RNA, 62 nt
Filed under: Aconurella sibirica
Lineage: Eukaryota; Metazoa; Arthropoda; Insecta; Hemiptera; Cicadellidae
Description: tRNA-Phe
Source: RNAcentral